Molecule: long non-coding RNA, 656 nt
Filed under: Homo sapiens (human)
Lineage: Eukaryota; Metazoa; Chordata; Mammalia; Primates; Hominidae
Description: HSALNT0219901
Source: RNAcentral
AAUCAAUCAACAUUCCCAUCUCUACUGACUCACAUGGCCUGGAACGCAAGUUCACAUACCAAAGAGAACUGAGAAGGGGGAUGGGGGAAAUAACUCUCCAAUUUAUCUAGGUAAGAGCACCACUCCUAUUUUCACUCCAUGAGUGUUAUGCAAGGUCAGCCUCCCCCUCUGCAGAAUGGGAGAGUUCUGGAUGACUUCUCUGAACAGCAUGGGGUCAAGGAUGACUGCCAAGACAUCAGAUGUCAUCACACCUGCCUUUCUCCUGGAUGUCUUUUCUUAUCAUUACAGUUGAAAUGCAAGAGAAACCCUAAAAGAAAUGUGAAGCUGAGAAGGACACAGCUCUCUGACCAUGACCACAGGAAGUGUUUGAGGGAGGUGACAGAGGAAUGGAAUCACCUGAGAAGAAUACUGCUUCCAGCAGGAAACUAAUGGGUAACUCUGACACCCCAAAUGUGAAGUCACUGCCUCAUGUUUUGGGUUGCUCACAAAUGGUAAUCCCUACUUCCCAGCAAUUCCAACAAGGAAGAAGAUUGGCUGUAAAAACUCCUGGGGAAAAUCAUCAGUCAAGAGCCAAAGUUUCCUGAGGCCAUGAACCUCCACCAGGAGAAGGAGGACAAGGAGGAGGAAGAUAAUUGAGGAGGAGAAGAAGGAGUAAG